This 501-nucleotide ribosomal RNA is filed under the name uncultured bacterium. RNAcentral's name for it is "partial 16S ribosomal RNA". It matches the Rfam family "Bacterial small subunit ribosomal RNA", at positions 343 to 860 of the family's 1533-position model. The record is from RNAcentral.
GGGAGGCAGCAGUGGGGAAUUUUGCGCAAUGGGGGGAACCUUGACGCAGCGACGCCGCGUGGGUGAUGAAGGCCUUCGGGUUGUAAAGCCCUGUUGGGGGGGAAGAUAAUGACGGUACCCCCUGAGGAAGCCCCGGCUAACUACGUGCCAGCAGCCGCGGUAAGACGUAGGGGGCGAGCGUUGUCCGGAAUUACUGGGCGUAAAGGGCGUGUAGGCGGCUUUUCAAGUCGGCUGUGAAAUUCCCCGGCUUAACCGGGGGGGUGCAGUCGAAACUGAUGGGCUUGAGUGCAGGAGAGGGUGGUGGAAUUCCCGGUGUAGCGGUGACAUGCGUAGAUAUCGGGAGGAACACCGGUGGCGAAGGCGACCUCCUGGCCUGUUACUGACGCUGAGGCGCGAAAGCUGGGGGAGCAAACAGGAUUAGAUACCCUGGUAGUCCCAGCUGUAAACUCUGGGUACUAGGUGUGGGGGGCUUCGAUGCCCUCUGUGCCGUAGUUAACGCAU